CAGCAGCCGCGGGAAUACGUAGGUGGCAAGCGUUGUCCGGAAUUAUUGGGCGUAAAGGGCUCGCAGGCGGUUUCUUAAGUCUGAUGUGAAAGCCCCCGGCUCAACCGGGGAGGGUCAUUGGAAACUGGGAAACUUGAGUGCAGAAGAGGAGAGUGGAAUUCCACGCGUAGCGGUGAAAUGCGUAGAGAUGUGGAGGAACACCAGUGGCGAAGGCGACUCUCUGGUCUGUAACUGACGCUGAGGAGCGAAAGCGUGGGGAGCGAACAGGAUUAGAUACCCCUGUAGUCCCUGUCUCUUAUAC
This 301-nucleotide ribosomal RNA is filed under the name uncultured bacterium. Its description in RNAcentral is "partial 16S ribosomal RNA". It matches the Rfam family "Bacterial small subunit ribosomal RNA", at positions 509 to 807 of the family's 1533-position model. The record is from RNAcentral.